CUCGUACAUAAAAUUACUCCCCAGUGCCCUCGUGUUCGUGUCUCGAUAACGCUACGGUGUUGCGCGCACCACGACGGGCGUGAAACGAGGCUGACAUGGGACCGCCGUCUGAAGGAAACUUUCAUCGGGAGUUCCCGCGGAAAGAAACGCUCCUUUGGGAGGAGCCGUUCCGACUCAGCCAAUCGAGCCGCCUCCUUGCGCAAAGCUUGACGACCCAUAACGCAAUCUUUCAAGCGCGGCGAGAGGAGACCGGCCGGCGUAUCCUCCUCGGUUCCUGCCUCGUCGUUCUGCAAAAACGGACCGGGCUGACCGCCUAGCCUGCUCUCCUCGAUCUUCCUCUCCUCGAUCCUCGCACACCUGACGGAUCAAAGGACUCUCUCCGCGAGCCAAGGGACAGCUGCGACGCAUCCCUCUCCGAGAGUCCGUCUUCCCAGGGCUUGCUCGACGAUCGGACAACAGCGAAUCGCGCGCGACUUGGAACGCGUUUUACGAGCGACCGGAUUCCUUCGUCCUCGUCCUUCUCUUGUUUUGCAAACUGCGAUCGCCAGCCAGGAUUGCUCGUUCGAUGGAUUACGCGAGCACCGUGGCGCGUCGUUCCCGCGCCUCGUCGACUAGCAGGAAUUAAAGCAAUCGCGGCGGCGGAAGCGUAAAAAGUUACAGCCCGCGGGACGUGUCGGUACUUUACGCCGAUGCUCUAUUUUGAUCGCUGCGAGCUCGCUGCUACAUUCUACGAGCUGUAACCGAGAUGUCUUAACGAGGAUGUCGGGAUUUAAAUACCCCGUUGAUGGCCGCGAAGGAGACCCGAUCGCGUGUUUUACAACGUUCGAUCGGCGAUCGUUCGAUCCUGGAUUUUAAAUCGCGUCCGCAAGCGGAAUAAUAACCGGCGUCGCCGGAUAGUUUAUAGAUUGGUUAAAUUAUUACCGCGACCUUCGCUGCAUUCUUUUUUGCCUUCGCUUUGCGUUCAUCUUUUUUUUUCAGGUACUCUGGUUAUUCCUUCGGUUGUAUAUUAUAUAAAUAAAUUGCAAAGAUCCUAUAUAUAUAUUAUUAUAAAUUUAAAUAGCGUAAUAUUUCAAUAUUUAAAUAUAUAAUUAAUGCUGCGAGUGAUUGCUUGCAGGCAGAAGCAGUUGAAUGUCCAAAGUUUACAUCUCUAAUCGUCAGACCGAGGACUCCGCGCUGCUGCGAUUAGAGAGGUAAUACUAUACAAUGAUUUUAGGCUUGCGAGUCAACUCCUUUUGGAAAAGUUCGUCUCGCGUUUCGAUAACAUAGUAGCUGUCUUCGUGGGAAGAUCGAAUGGCAAACCGUCGGUUAGGUAAACAAUUAAAUUCUCUGGUUCGUGACUAUAACUAGUAAGGUGAACACGGUGCAUUUAUUGUCGAUGAAUUAUCCUGUGAGCCGUGCAACGUCAGCGUCGCAUUGUUAACGAAACGCGAGGAUAGUCGUCUUUCCUUCGAAAGAUCUUCGUUUCCAAGAAGUAUUUAUUUUAUUAUCACUUCGAAUGGGGGAAUGUUUCAAUUCGGUAAAGUGUACUGUUUUUCUAGACAUAACUAUUAAAGUGUGUAUUCAAAGAUUUAACCCUUGGUUUCUGUAAAUUGUUUAACAGAUAAGUGCACAUUUUGAUCAAUAUCAGUGUAAUUAUUUCCAA
Molecule: long non-coding RNA, 1642 nt
Organism: Megalopta genalis
Lineage: Eukaryota; Metazoa; Arthropoda; Insecta; Hymenoptera; Halictidae
Source: RefSeq, a predicted model, not a curated record